AUUAGCUAGUAGGUGGGGUAACGGCCUCACCUAGGCGACGAUCCCUAGCUGGUCUGAGAGGAUGACCAGCCACACUGGAACUGAGACACGGUCCAGACUCCUACGGGAGGCAGCAGUGGGGAAUAUUGCACAAUGGGGGAAACCCUGAUGCAGCAACGCCGCGUGAGUGAUGAAGGUUUUCGGAUCGUAAAGCUCUGUCUUUGGGGAAGAUAAUGACGGUACCCAAGGAGGAAGCCACGGCUAACUACGUGCCAGCAGCCGCGGUAAUACGUAGGUGGCGAGCGUUAUCCGGAUUUACUGGGCGUAAAGGGAGCGUAGGCGGAUGAUUAAGUGGGAUGUGAAAUACCCGGGCUCAACUUGGGUGCUGCAUUCCAAACUGGUUAUCUAGAGUGCAGGAGAGGAGAGUGGAAUUCCUAGUGUAGCGGUGAAAUGCGUAGA
Molecule: ribosomal RNA, 438 nt
Filed under: uncultured bacterium
Lineage: Bacteria
Description: bacterial SSU rRNA
Rfam family: Bacterial small subunit ribosomal RNA
Source: RNAcentral